Molecule: long non-coding RNA, 1512 nt
Filed under: Canis lupus familiaris (dog)
Lineage: Eukaryota; Metazoa; Chordata; Mammalia; Carnivora; Canidae
Description: lncRNA (ENSCAFG00040002650.1)
Source: RNAcentral
AUGCUCCCGCGUCACCACGGCCACCCUAGGAUCCGCGUCGUCUCCGACUUUGGGAAGGACGCGCUUCUCCUGGCACCUGGCAAUCUCGGCUGGCUUCCUGGUUGCCACGCCAACUGGGUCUGCACCGCUCUGGUGUCCCCUCCCUGUACGCGCUCCGAAGGGGUGCUCGGUGGGGGCCCCCGCAGCGGGGCCAGGUGGACACCCUGCCAUCCUGUGUGGGCUGCCCCUCGUGUUCCUGCCGUAAGUCACAGCCACGGGCAGCGCAGCGUGGAGUCCUUCCGGGCAGGGAAGCCGCAGCUGGGGAUGGGGAGGCUGGCCCCCAGGCUGUGUCCCCAAGGCCAGCUCCGCCCCCCACCCCCCUCAGCCGCUCGGGCUGCCCUGUCUGGUCCCUCCCAGGGCCUGUGUCACUGGAGCCAUCCACCCACACCCCUGCACGCACCCCUGCACACACCGUGCUCCCACAGUGCUCUCGGGGUGCCCGGCGGCCCCUUCCUCAUGGAUGCCUCCUGGGCAGCCCUGCUCCUCGGGGUUGGAGGCCCUGCAGGUCAGGGGUCACCAGGAUGGGGAGUUGGUGAUGCGCCGUCCCUGGGAAGGCCCCACUGUGUGUGGGGCCACCUUCCCAGAUGCCCUGCCCUCGGCCCACCCGCAGGCCACCGUCCCCAGGUCCAGCCUGCUGGAGCUUCUACCCCACGUGGAGCCUCGUACUCCCGAACAUCUGCUUUGUGGAAGCUUCCAGAAACAUGCAAGGGGGUUGGGAGGUCGGAGCCGCUUUGGAAAUGUGCGUUCUGUGUCCGAGCGCGAACAGUCCUCGGGUUUGCUCGGGGUCCGGCCGGCACCCGCCCUCCGCACCCGCUCCCACCCACAGGGCCUGGCCCACCUCCCCGGGCAGCACGCUGCGCACGUGGCGGAGGGAACCCGGGGACGUGGGCACAGCAGGCGACCACAUGCCCGCGCUCCUCAGAGCUCGGGGAUUCCCUAAUUACAGGAUUUAUUAUGAAAGCGCCAGCUUCCUCCGUGCCGGCUUCCUACAGCCGCGGAGACAAACUGCCGGCAGCCAGCGCCGGGGGAGGGGGCUGCGGGCGCCUGCCCAGAGAGGGGUUGCUUUGGGGCCCGCCGUGGGAAGGGGGCCGCAUUCCCACCCGAGGCACCCCAGCCAGGGGCUCGUGGGGUGGGAGCCCGUGUGGGACCCUCAGGCCCAGCCCUGGGUGCCUGCUCAGGCCCUGGGCAGACGCAGGAGGUGAGUCUGGGCGGGAGGAUGGCGGAGAGCAGACCCAUGCUGGGUCGGGGGCGUGCACGCGUGUUCACCGUGUGGCCGGAUGGGCCCGGAGGCGCCCGUGUCCUGUGGACGUGGGUGGUGUGGUGGGGGUGGUGCAGAGGUGGGCGCCGUUGGGGGGGUGUCCCCUGGGUGGUCGGAGAUGUCCUUCCACACACGGGAGCUGCUGGCCUGGGAUGACCGGUGGGGUCUGCACGGGGACGGGCCCCAGGAGGUCAUCUCACCGCUCACCUUCUUAG